Molecule: long non-coding RNA, 1274 nt
Filed under: Homo sapiens (human)
Lineage: Eukaryota; Metazoa; Chordata; Mammalia; Primates; Hominidae
Description: HSALNT0316917
Source: RNAcentral
GUCAAGGUUGAGAAUUACUGGGAUUCUAGAGUGAACUGAAGAGAGGGAAAGGAUUUGAAGACAGAAAGAAAAGGGAGGUGUAUGAAAAGUAGAUCUCAUUUCCACAAGUCACAGGGUUAAUGAGUGCAACAGGUUUUGAAUAAUGUUUGCAAUUGAACUUUUAAUGUCAGUAACCCUGGCUUUUAAAUACCCAAUGGGACCAGUCCAGUGCAACAGAAAAUGACAGGAAUGUAUGGAAUCUGGUCAAGGUGUUAAGAGGCUCCAACCCAGUGGGGAAGGGGAAAGCUAUUGAUUAAAACAAAAACUAUUUUGAGUUUUUGUUAUUAUGAGUUGAGCUCCUUAAUGAAGUUUUUCUAUUAUGGCUAUAUUGGCUGCACCCUAAAUGGGGUGUCCUGGGUGAACCAAAUGCUGGUGUAGGGAAAGGAAUGGGAAUGUUGAGGGGAUGGGAAGAGGCAUCAAGAACAGGAAUAUAAUUUUCCUACAGUGCUGUUCUGCUGAGACUACAGAGUACCUCAGGGAGUCAUGCAUCCUCUUCCUGUUGCUUUACUGAAUCUUAAAGAGUGAUACAGUACUAAUGAUGCCAUUCUAGCAACUGGAGCAGCUUCAGGGGAGAGAGCACAUUAAGGGUGCUGGGAUGGUAAUGGUUGGGAGGAAGCUGAAUGGUAGUAAGAGAGACAUUCUGUCCUGAGAACUCUGAUCCAGGAUCUGAAUGAUGCAGUGUCGCAAUCCCAUUUUAUAAAUGAGGCAACCAAAACUCGAACAGGACCAUAUUGCGACUGAAACAAGGCAUAACAGGUCUUUGACUGGCUAUCCUGUGGAUGUGGACUCAGGCUAGCCUGCGCAAAGUGAAAGACAGGCAAUUAGAUUGAAAAAUACCUGUGAUUCAAAGAAGUCACAAGUCACAGAGACAAACUUUUCCCAGUGUGUUCGAGUCAGAGAACCUUUGCAAAGACCAACAGGCUAAAAGAGAAAAUACAAUGUCAUCUUGAUGCAGAUGAGCAGGUAACCAUGGAAGUCGUGAGCUGAGGCUGCAGAGUCUAGAGCCAGAGUGUGGAAUAAACUUGGGUCUCAAAUCACCCCUGGAGCAAAGCACCCAUCUAAUCAGGAACUUCUACUUUCAACUUUACAUGCGUGAGAAAUGAACUUCUAUCAUGUUAGAGAAAUCCUUACACGGCGCCCUUGAGAGCUUUCAUACUGCAAGUCAUCCAUUUUCCUCCCCUCAAACCUGGCAUCGGAGUUUAUUGAAACAAAGCAAAAUAAAACAAAUAGACAAA